RNAcentral lists this unclassified non-coding RNA (259 nucleotides) under Hevea brasiliensis (rubber tree). Lineage: Eukaryota; Viridiplantae; Streptophyta; Magnoliopsida; Malpighiales; Euphorbiaceae. The record is from RNAcentral.
AGAGAACCCAAUACGACAUUACGAUUGACAAUUCCAUGAACUAAUAGACUGCAUCCCAAAAAGAACAGAUACGCACUACAGGCAUGAAGAAAUUAACUAAGACACAUUUCCUCCAUAGCUCAAGAAAUAAAUCCAAAGUUCAAUGAGAGCAAAAAAAGACUCAUCAAUCACAACUCCUAGAACAAGUAAACUAUGAGAAAAGAAAUAAUUUCUCGAAGAGCAUCACGUAUGAUCCAAGAGAUAGGUAAACAGAAAUGCG